Molecule: small nuclear RNA, 137 nt
Gene: U2
Rfam family: U2 spliceosomal RNA
About the family: U2 is a small nuclear RNA (snRNA) component of the spliceosome (involved in pre-mRNA splicing). Complementary binding between U2 snRNA (in an area lying towards the 5' end but 3' to hairpin I) and the branchpoint sequence (BPS) of the intron results the bulging out of an unpaired adenosine, on the BPS, which initiates a nucleophilic attack at the intronic 5' splice site, thus starting the first of two transesterification reactions that mediate splicing.
Source: Ensembl
AUUGCUUUUUGGUCUUUCGGCUAAAAUCAAGUAUAGUAUCUUUUCUUAUCAGUUUAACAAAAGGGGUAUUAUGCUGCAUAAACCCUCAAAAUAUUUUUAUGUAGUAGUGCCAUGGUCUAUUAUGUAGAAGAGCUCAU